GAUGAACGCUGGCGGCGUGCCUAAUACAUGCAAGUCGAGCGAACAGACGAGGAGCUUGCUCCUCUGACGUUAGCGGCGGACGGGUGAGUAACACGUGGAUAACCUACCUAUAAGACUGGGAUAACUUCGGGAAACCGGAGCUAAUACCGGAUAAUAUAUUGAACCGCAUGGUUCAAUAGUGAAAGACGGUUUUGCUGUCACUUAUAGAUGGAUCCGCGCCGCAUUAGCUAGUUGGUAAGGUAACGGCUUACCAAGGCAACGAUGCGUAGACGACCUGAGAGGGUGAUCGGCCACCCUGGAACUGAGACACGGUCCAGACUCCUACGGUAGGCAGCAGUAGGGAAUCUUCCGCAAUGGGCGAAAGCCUGACGGAGCAACGCCGCGUGAGUGAUGAAGGUCUUCGGAUCGUAAAACUCUGUUAUUAGGGAAGAACAAAUGUGUAAGUAACUAUGCACGUCUUGACGGUACCUAAUCAGAAAGCCACGGCUAACUACGUG
This 497-nucleotide ribosomal RNA is filed under the name uncultured bacterium. RNAcentral describes it as "partial 16S ribosomal RNA". It matches the Rfam family "Bacterial small subunit ribosomal RNA", at positions 28 to 507 of the family's 1533-position model. The record is from RNAcentral.